AGAGUUUGAUCAUGGCUCAGAACGAACGCUGGCGGCAUGCCUAACACAUGCAAGUCGAACGCCUCUAGCGAUAGAGGAGUGGCGCACGGGUGAGUAACGCGUGGGAACCUGCCCCGAGGUGGGGGAUAACCGAUGGAAACGUCGGCUAAUACCGCAUACGACCUGAGGGUGAAAGAUUUAUCGCCUUGGGAGGGGCCCGCGUCGGAUUAGCUAGUUGGUGGGGUAACGGCCUACCAAGGCGAUGAUCCGUAGCUGGUCUGAGAGGAUGAUCAGCCACACUGGGACUGAGACACGGCCCAGACUCCUACGGGAGGCAGCAGUGGGGAAUAUUGGACAAUGGGCGCAAGCCUGAUCCAGCAAUGCCGCGUGAGUGAUGAAGGCCUUAGGGUUGUAAAGCUCUUUCGGCGGGGACGAUGAUGACGGUACCCGCAGAAGAAGCCCCGGCUAACUUCGUGCCAGCAGCCGCGGUAAUACGAAGGGGGCAAGCGUUGUUCGGAAUUACUGGGCGUAAAGGGCGCGCAGGCGGCUCAUUAAGUCAGGUGUGAAAGCCCCGGGCUCAACCUGGGAAUAGCAUUUGGGACUGAUGGGCUAGAGAUCGGGAGAGGAGAGUGGAAUUCCCAGUGUAGAGGUGAAAUUCGUAGAUAUUGGGAAGAACACCGGUGGCGAAGGCGGCUCUCUGGACCGAUACUGACGCUGAGGCGCGAAAGCGUGGGGAGCAAACAGGAUUAGAUACCCUAGUAGUCC
RNAcentral lists this ribosomal RNA (744 nucleotides) under uncultured bacterium. RNAcentral describes it as "bacterial SSU rRNA". It matches the Rfam family "Bacterial small subunit ribosomal RNA", at positions 8 to 796 of the family's 1533-position model. The record is from RNAcentral.